RNAcentral lists this unclassified non-coding RNA (4270 nucleotides) under Hevea brasiliensis (rubber tree). The record is from RNAcentral. Lineage: Eukaryota; Viridiplantae; Streptophyta; Magnoliopsida; Malpighiales; Euphorbiaceae.
AAAUAACUAAGGUUGAAAUUGCCUCCACUGAACAUGGCUUGCAACAUAUCCUGCUGAAGCUAAUGAUACUUGGUUCAUCAUUUAAGCCACCAUUGAAACUGUUUUUCAGUUUUCCAAACAUAGGUAGGAGCUUCCAUUCAUGCUCUAUGAUACGGUAUAAUUAUCAAUGAAAUUUACUAAAACAGUAGAGUAACAAUGAGUGCAUGAAGGCUCAAAUACAAAAAUAUUUACAAAUGAAAGCUAAGCGUGACAAGGGACAAUAAUACCAAAAUUUGUCCCUGUAACCCGUAAAUUCAGCCUUGGAAGCGAGGGUAAUGUGGACUGUUUUUCUCUGUAGUUAGAGAAGAAGAAUCUAUGUACAAACAGAUGAUUAUUCUGCAAUGCUUGCUCAUCGAAGGUAGAUCCUCUGAGCCGCAUUUUUUGGAUGUUUACCCCUCUUUAGACUGCUGAUUUUUUCCUGCACAAAAUAAGUUCAUGGAAAAAUCAGAAAUUGAGUGAAACUGUCACAAAAAUGGUGUGGUGUAAAAAGUUCAAGUUUCUUAAUGGUAUUCUUUUUUUUAAUUCAAUAACAUCGCCGUGAAGACAUUGCAUUCUGACUUGAAAAGAACUGUUGUCUCUUGAAGCUCCAAAACAUACCACCAGAAUUUACAGCCAAAUAAGUAAUUUUCAAGCGUUUAAAUAGACCAAUGCGGCAGCAUAAAAGUUUAAAGGGUCGUUAACCUACAGAGCUGUGGCUAUGGCCUUUUCUGGAGGCAGAAGAGCUGCUCAGGGUCAAGGGAAAAGGGGUGAUUGAUCAAUCUAAUUUGUCUCAGCAGCAACUAAAUCUAACCUUUGCUUGCAUGUUAAUUGUGAUAUAUGAGAAAAAUAAAAAUAGAGCAACAACCAACAUUCUUUCAGAUAAAAGCCAAGAUGACUGAAAAUAGUUUAUUCAACAGUCUCCAUUUAAUUGUCCAGAAUUUGUGGGAAGGGUGGGAAGCCUAACAGAAAAGUCCAACUGCGCAUUUGUGAAUCUAAACAAAAAUACAGCCCAAAACUUAAAUUAGAAAAAAUAAUAUUUCCUAUUGUCCUUGUAAAUAAAAAAAAGCCUGGGAAUAACUUCUAGCAAUAAAUCAAAUUCAUCAUACUUCUAGCAUUACUUUAACUUCAUCAUGCAUAAGACUGUUUCCACAAGGUAUAAGAAAAAGAAAUGCAAACAAAAUAAAAUUUUCUUAUAACAGAAGUCCCAAUUAAAUUUCUAAUCAAUGGAACACAGUUGCCCAUUUCAGAUUUUUCUGAUUGGGUGCACUAUUAAGUUGAAGAAUAAAAGCAGAAACUUUGAUUUUAACAUUCUUUGAGCUCUAACAUUAUUUUCUUCAAGUUCCCAUCAGCCUAAAUAACCUAAAAACUAGUCAUUGAAAGUCACAGGACAGUUUUAUGUUACUUAAUUUAAGAUUAGAAGUUUUGCGUUACAAAUUGAAGUUUAAAUACCUUACUGUUACACACGCCUAAGUUGAGGUACUGUCUGUAUAAUUUACCCCAAGUUCAAUCAUAUAGUUUUCAGAAAAGAGUAAACAAAAGCAGUGUUUUGAGGCUACACAAAUGAUAAUCAAUGGUAUUUACCUUUGGGCCAACCAAUCUUGUUCUAUCAUACUUUAGUGGAACAUUCUGUUUUGCCUCCUUCCGACCACUAGCUAUGACUCCAGUAGCAUCGUCUCCAUGACUGAAUUUUUGGCUCAAGGGCACUCUUCCUGUUGCAUUCUCAUUUCCACCACCCACCAAUCUAUUGUGCCUACCCACUGUAACCUUCUCUUUAGCCUUUGUAACACCAGCCAAUGAACCUUGUUCGUUAACCCUAUGCUGCAGCAAAGCUUUCACGUGCAGGGUCUGAUUUUGGACCUGCAAGAAUUUAGAACAACUAAUAUGCUUAUGAUGUUUUAUGAAAUUGUAACAUAUGUGUUCUGAAAUUUUACACUAUAACCUUUGACUUUGCAACUUCUUGAUGGGCUGUCUUUGAAAAUGUCCCUUCCCUUCUAACAUUGCCAACUCCCAUUUUAACUUGAACAUUAGAAGCCUUGGACACAUUACAAUCUUUUACCUUGUUCUUUGUUGCUCUAGUCAUUCUUGCUGCAUUUCUGCUAUCUGGGGUGCAUUCUUUAUGCUGCACCAAUGCAAAUGUAUAACUCUUAAAAUCAAAGUGAUGGUUCGAAGAUGAUCCCAUCCUAGAUUUGCCAGACACAGAAUUGUGACCUCUUGAUUGCCUCCUACUAUUAUUAUUAAAACCCCCCCUUGAUGCUUGUCUUGUAACACAGCUUUUCCUAAGGCUAAUCCUCAUUGCUGAUAAAAGUCCACUUGAAUAACCAAAAGCUUGACUUGAUACCUCCAGGUUUCUUUGCUGUGGUUUUUGACCACUCUCAGAAGUAAUGGUGCUUGUUUUGCUUGCACCUGCCUUAUCCACCACAGAACUUGAACUACCUUCAAAGUCUCCAUGAUUAGAUACAGCUUUCAAACCAUUUUCUUUUACAUUUUCAGUUAAAUCCUUCUCAAGAACAAAACUUAUUUUUGACCUUGAAGUUCUAUUAGAAUUUAUAAAGCUUUGUUUGGGUUUUAUUUCCUUGCCAGAUCCUGAAUUCACCCAUGAAGAAUUCCCAUUUAAAACCUUAACUGGAUGCUGCUUAUUCAAUGAACCAGAUUUGUUGCUUGCAUAGUGCUUGCCUCUGGAUCUUGAAACUGAGGAUGGAAGCUUAGGUGAAGAUGGCCCCUUCAGAUCAAUGUCAGAUGACAUACUGCCCUCACCAGAAUGAGCAAAUUGUGCUUUUAGCUGAUGAGAAGAACAGUGGUGGAACCUGAAUAUCAUAUCGAUUAAGCUUUAAUAAGCCUUAUUAUUUCACAAGAAAAAAUAAUCCCAUGGCAGAAUGGAUAACUAAGAGAAACAUUAAAAAUUUCAUAACUAAAUAAGAAAACAAUUAACCAAAGGAAAGAAGAUGCUUACUCAUGGCUAGUAUAAAACCACCCAUCAUCACUGCAAAGUAGCACAAAUAAUUUUAGUUUCACAGAUAUAAAAUUCAACUAUUUCUGAGAGAAAAUGGAAGUCUAAGUUUGUAGGCAAUUACACAGACACUUACAUGUCUUGGUAAUUAGAUUUUGCUUCUAGGGUAAGAUCUACCCACAUUGGUGCUUCAAUUUCUUGCUACAUAUCAAUCAACAAUGAUUAAUAAGAUAAUUCAAGAUAAUAAAAAAGAAAGUACCAAGGGCCAUAAUUUGGGAACACAAGGUCUGUGAUUAGUGAACAAUUAAACAUGAAAAAGAAAAUAGCCAAAUAUAUGUCAUAAAUUUCCUCAAUUUGGUUGGUAUAAAAAAAUUAUGGAAAAGAACAGAUAUCACAAUUUUAUUUUGGGUAAAUAUAUUCUGAAAUUUUCCAGUUUAGAAAAAAAAAAACUCGAAUUGUUUUACUUUUCCUACAUUCUCCCAGAGAUUCAAUAAAGCUUAAAACACAGCAGGCAUAUUAACCCGCUCCUUGACAAGAAGAUAAAAACCGUACAAAAGAAAAUCAACAAAGAUAUGACAUAUUAUAUAACAUGAAUAUCUCCCAUGAUUCUAUCCAAGACUCAGCAGUGCCAACGAAAGACAAUUAGCAGAGAUGUUAUUUAGAAACCAAUCAAUAACACAGCAGAAAAAACACUCAAGAACACAUCCAAAAAUUGCAAUCAAUACCUGAUAAAAACAGACAAGACCACGACAAGUACACAUUAACCCAUAUCAAAUAUGUGAUAAAAUCUACAUACAAAAUAAGCCGAUGCGUAAUCCAUUAAACCUUAAUAAGCACACCAGACAAAAAAUCCCAAAUCCCCAGCUACAAAUCUUUAAAACAGUAGAAGGACGUUACCAGAAAUGCCCAGUGAUCUUUGGUAUUCUUGAGAGCCAUUUCCGCUUCCUUUGAACUGGCUUAAGCAAUGGAGAAGAACACUCAACAGAAAAAUUACGAAUGUUGUAGCGCCUAUGCCCUCUUGAUUGAAUUUUUAAGGGGCAAAUCCUCCAUUUCUAAUCCAAUGGGGUUUUUGGCUCCUUGGCUCGCUUCCUUCCUUAAUUUACUGUUAAAAGCUGUCAUAACAGAAAAUCCAUGAUAGACAUGUCUUAAACGAUACCGUUUAUGUAAUGGCCAUCCGUUUCCUGUACAUUUACCGUUCCAUUGGUUAGCUAUUACCGGAGGAGGAUGUGGGACCCGUGAAUUGAACGGCUGUGAUCUCUUAUGAUGUGGAGCGUGGUAAACUGGUGGUACAUGAAUAUGGUUUUC